This 445-nucleotide ribosomal RNA is filed under the name uncultured bacterium. RNAcentral describes it as "partial 16S ribosomal RNA". It matches the Rfam family "Bacterial small subunit ribosomal RNA", at positions 354 to 796 of the family's 1533-position model. The record is from RNAcentral.
GUGAGGAAUAUUGGUCAAUGGGCGCAAGCCUGAACCAGCCAUGCCGCGUGCAGGAAGACGGUCCUAUGGAUUGUAAACUGCUUUUAUUUGGGAAUAAACUCCGGUACGUGUACCGGCCUGAAGGUACCAAAUGAAUAAGCACCGGCUAACUCCGUGCCAGCAGCCGCGGUAAUACGGAGGGUGCAAGCGUUAUCCGGAAUCAUUGGGUUUAAAGGGUCCGCAGGCGGUCUUAUAAGUCAGUGGUGAAAGCCUACCGCUCAACUGUAGAACUGCCAUUGAUACUGUAGGACUUGAAUUCGAUCGAAGUGGGCGGAAUUUGACAUGUAGCGGUGGAAUGCUUAGAUAUGUCACAGAACACCGAUAGCGAAGGCAGCUCACUAGGUCUGGAUUGACGCUCAGGGACGAAAGCGUGGGGAGCAAACAGGAUUAGAUACCCGGGUAGUCC